Molecule: long non-coding RNA, 1982 nt
Organism: Homo sapiens (human)
Lineage: Eukaryota; Metazoa; Chordata; Mammalia; Primates; Hominidae
Source: Ensembl
AAAGCUUCUGGUACCUGCCCUUUGGACAGCUGCGGGCAAGCUCAGCCUCGUGUGGAUCCAGCUUGUCCAUAAAGCCUGCCUUGCUCCAAAGCAUCUGACUGUAAAGACUGGUCACCUAUACCUGUGAUUUGUGGGCCUGAAGAAAACCAUCCAUCCUUGCAAAUGUCUUCUGCUGAGAUGCCUCACACAGAGACUGUCUCUCCUCUUCCUUCCUCCAUGGAUCUGCCUAUUCAGGACAGCCAUGAUUCUUCCACCAGUCCCAAAGGCAAACAACCCACUACUGCAGAGAAGAGUGCCACAAAAAAGGAAGACAAGGUCCCGGUCAAGAAACAGAAGACCAGAACUGUGUUCUCUUCCACCCAGCUGUGUGUACUCAAUGAUAGAUUUCAGAGACAGAAAUACCUCAGCCUCCAGCAGAUGCAAGAACUUUCCAACAUCCUGAACCUCAGCUACAAACAGGUGAAGACCUGGUUCCAGAACCAGAGAAUGAAAUCUAAGAGGUGGCAGAAAAACAACUGGCUGAAGAAUAGCAAUGGUGUGACGCAGGGAUGCCUGGUGAACCCGACUGGGAACCUUCCAAUGUGGAGCAACCAGACCUGGAACAAUUCAACCUGGAGCAACCAGACCCAGAACAUCCAGUCCUGGAGCAACCACUCCUGGAACACUCAGACCUGGUGCACCCAAUCCUGGAACAAUCAGGCCUGGAACAGUCCCUUCUAUAACUGUGGAGAGGAAUCUCUGCAGUCCUGCAUGCAGUUCCAGCCAAAUUCUCCUGCCAGUGACUUGGAGGCUGCCUUGGAAGCUGCUGGGGAAGGCCUUAAUGUAAUACAGCAGACCACUAGGUAUUUUAAUACUCCACAAACCAUGGAUUUAUUCCUAAACUACUCCAUGAACAUGCAACCUGAAGACGUGUGAAGAUGAGUGAAAUUGAUGUUACUCAGUUUCAGUCUGGACACUGGCUGAAUCCUUCCUCUCCCCUCCUCCCAUCCCUCAUAGGAUUUUUCUUGUAUGGAAACUACGUGUUCUGGUUUCCAUGAUGCCUAUCCAGUCAAUCUCAUGGAGGGUGGGGUAUGGUUGGAGCCUAAUCAGAGAGGUUUCUUUCUUUUUUCCUAUUGGAUCUUUCCUGAGAAAAGAUAUUUUAAUAACCUUGGCUGCUAAAGACAACUUGAUAGAAGCUGUCUCUGGCUAUAGAUAAGUAGAUGUAAUACUAGUUUGGAUAUCUUUAGGGUUUAGAAUCUAACCUCAAGAAUGAGAAAUAAGCUGGGCGCGGUGGCUUACAUCUGUAAUCCCAGCACUUUGGGAGACCAAGGCGGGCGGAUCACGAGUGAGACUCUGUCUCAAAAAAAAAAAAAGAAAAAGAAAAAGAAAAGGAAAUAAAAGUACAAAUUGGUGUGAUGAAGAUAUAUUCCUAUUGUUUGGGAUUGGGAGGCUUUGUUUAUUUUUUUAAAAACUCUAUUGAGGCUGGGUGUGGUGGCUCACACCUGUAAUGGCAGCACUUUGGGAGGCCAAGGUAGGCAGAUCACCACAGGUUAGGAAUUCAAGACCAGUCUGGCCAACAUGGUGAAAUCCCGUCUCUACUAAAAUACAAAAAUUAGCUGGGCAUGGUGGCAGGCGCCUGUAAUCCCAGCUACUCGGGAGGCUGAGCGGAGAUGGUGCCACAGCAAUCCAGCCUGGAUGACAGAGCCAGACUCCAUGUCAAAAUAAAAUAAAAACUCUAUUGAGGUGAAGGGUGAAGCUUUAAGUUGUUACAUACUUCACUGAUUUCCUCAACCCUUUUUGGCUCCGUUUUACUAUAGCCCGUAUUUUGUUGGUUAUGACUAAUAUUUGUGGAAAGAGGUCUUGUGUUUAGUGCAUUAUAAUGGCAUCAGUACUACUUCGGCUGGUUUAAGUACUAAUGAAUAAAACAACCAUUUUUCCUUCAGUUGACUUUGGCCUGAUUUCUCCUAGUGUUUCAAUCAGUAAAAAUACAGCUUAAACAUAAA